CUGGAGGUAUCAGAAGUGCGAAUGCUGACAUAAGUAACGAUAAAGCGGGUGAAAAGCCCGCUCGCCGGAAGACCAAGGGUUCCUGUCCAACGUUAAUCGGGGCAGGGUGAGUCGACCCCUAAGGCGAGGCCGAAAGGCGUAGUCGAUGGGAAACAGGUUAAUAUUCCUGUACUUGGUGUUACUGCGAAGGGGGGACGGAGAAGGCUAUGUUGGCCGGGCGACGGUUGUCCCGGUUUAAGCGUGUAGGCUGGUUUUCCAGGCAAAUCCGGAAAAUCAAGGCUGAGGCGUGAUGACGAGGCACUACGGUGCUGAAGCAACAAAUGCCCUGCUUCCAGGAAAAGCCUCUAAGCAUCAGGUAACAUCAAAUCGUACCCCAAACCGACACAGGUGGUCAGGUAGAGAAUACCAAGGCGCUUGAGAGAACUCGGGUGAAGGAACUAGGCAAAAUGGUGCCGUAACUUCGGGAGAAGGCACGCUGAUAUGUAGGUGAAGCGACUUGCUCGUGGAGCUGAAAUCAGUCGAAGAUACCAGCUGGCUGCAACUGUUUAUUAAAAACACAGCACUGUGCAAACACGAAAGUGGACGUAUACGGUGUGACGCCUGCCCGGUGCCGGAAGGUUAAUUGAUGGGGUCAGCGCAAGCGAAGCUCUUGAUCGAAGCCCCGGUAAACGGCGGCCGUAACUAUAACGGUCCUAAGGUAGCGAAAUUCCUUGUCGGGUAAGUUCCGACCUGCACGAAUGGCGUAAUGAUGGCCAGGCUGUCUCCACCCGAGACUCAGUGAAAUUGAACUCGCUGUGAAGAUGCAGUGUACCCGCGGCAAGACGGAAAGACCCCGUGAACCUUUACUAUAGCUUGACACUGAACAUUGAGCCUUGAUGUGUAGGAUAGGUGGGAGGCUUAGAAGUGUGGACGCCAGUCUGCAUGGAGCCGACCUUGAAAUACCACCCUUUAAUGUUUGAUGUUCUAACGUUGACCCGUAAUCCGGGUUGCGGACAGUGUCUGGUGGGUAGUUUGACUGGGGCGGUCUCCUCCUAAAGAGUAACGGAGGAGCACGAAGGUUGGCUAAUCCUGGUCGGACAUCAGGAGGUUAGUGCAAUGGCAUAAGCCAGCUUGACUGCGAGCGUGACGGCGCGAGCAGGUGCGAAAGCAGGUCAUAGUGAUCCGGUGGUUCUGAAUGGAAGGGCCAUCGCUCAACGGAUAAAAGGUACUCCGGGGAUAACAGGCUGAUACCGCCCAAGAGUUCAUAUCGACGGCGGUGUUUGGCACCUCGAUGUCGGCUCA
This 1281-nucleotide ribosomal RNA is filed under the name Escherichia coli. Its description in RNAcentral is "partial 23S ribosomal RNA". It matches the Rfam family "Bacterial large subunit ribosomal RNA", at positions 1273 to 2539 of the family's 2925-position model. Lineage: Bacteria; Pseudomonadati; Pseudomonadota; Gammaproteobacteria; Enterobacterales; Enterobacteriaceae. The record is from RNAcentral.